Molecule: long non-coding RNA, 7264 nt
Filed under: Arachis ipaensis
Lineage: Eukaryota; Viridiplantae; Streptophyta; Magnoliopsida; Fabales; Fabaceae
Description: long non-coding RNA (AIPA_LNC000447)
Source: RNAcentral
UCUUUUUGCUACAAGGAAAACAAAAUUCAUAAGCAAUUAAGCAUCCCUUUCUGAACCUGCUGCUACUACUUCCUUUACCUUCAUUGCAAACAAGCUUUAGAAGUAGUUGGUCGAAAAAUUGUCAAAAAGUGUAAUGGGUUAGCUUUGGCUGCUCAAACACUUGGAGGUUUAUUAAGAGCAAGAAAAGAAGUAGCGAAUUGGGAGUUUAUAUUGAGGAGUGAAAUUUGGGAACUUCCCAAAAAAGAUAGUGGGAUUCUUCCUGCAUUAAGAAUCAGUUAUCACUACCUCCCUUCACACUUAAAACGUUGCUUUGUUUAUUGUUCUUUAUUCCCAAAAGACUAUGAAUUCCAAAGAGAUGAACUGGUGUUAUUGUGGAUGGCAGAAGGUCUUUUGCAGCAACCAAAGAGUGGCAGCACUUUAGAAGAAGUUGGUUCUAAAUAUUUUAAUGAUUUGGUUUCGAGAUCAUUUUUCCAACAUUCUAACACCGAUGAAGGAUAUUUUGUGAUGCACGAUCUCAUGCAUGAUUUAUCAAUAUUCUAUGGUGGAAAGUUCUUUUCUAGAAACUUUGAACUCGAAACUGCAGACAAGCAUGAUGCUUGUCCUCGUCCUCGUCAUCUUUCAUAUGAUGGUUGGAUCGAUGAUUCGCUAUUCUCAGAGAUAUUGGAAGUAUGUGGUUGUUUAAAAAAUGCAAGGACAUUGCUUUAUAUCGGUUUUUAUACGUGGGAUCUUUCCCCAGAGGAAUAUGAUCCUUGUCGCUUACUUGCACAGUUGAAGCACUUAAGGGUUUUGUCAUUUCAAUUCCUUCCUCUUGAUGAUUCAAUAAGUGAUUUGAUCCAUUUGCGUUAUUUGGAUCUCUCUUGUACACCUAUGGUGACAUUGCCAGAGUCAAUGAGCAAAUUGUAUAAUUUACAAACACUGAAGUUUACUGGUGGAUAUCUAGAAAAGCUUCCAAGCAACAUGCAGGAUCUUGUAAAUUUGCUUCAUUUGGAUCUCUCUUCUACGGCAAUUGAGGUAUUGCCCGAGUCAUUGAGCAAAUUGCAUAAUUUACAAACGUUGAAGUUGAGAGAGUGUGAAAACCUGAAAAAGCUUCCAAGCAAGAUGCAAGAUCUUAUAAAUUUGCACCAUCUCGAUAUUGAAGGUACUAAAAUAGAAGAGAUGCCGAAAAGGAUGAGCAAAUUAAAAGACCUACAGAUUUUAUGUUACUAUAUUGUCGGCGAGCGUGAAGAGAAUGGGAUAGGGGAAUUGGGAGAACUUGUAAAUCUUCAAGGGUCAUUUCGUAUUAAGAAAUUAGAGAAUGUGGUUGAUAGCAGUGAAGCUUGGAAAGCAAGGAUGGUUGAUAAGAAAUACAUCAGUGAUCUAUAUUUGAAGUGGUCAUCAGGUGAAGAUAGUGAUAUUGUUAAUUCCCAAAUCGAAAAAGAUGUGCUUUGCAAAUUAGAACCUCACAAUGACCUGAAAUAUCUAAAAAUAAAGGGUUACAGGUGUACCGUGUUUCCGGAUUGGGUAGGGCAGUCUUCGUACCACAACAUGACUGAAUUGGAGCUGUGGAAAUGCAGGAAUUGUUGUGUGGUUCCUUCACUUGGACAGUUACCCUCUCUGGAGAGGCUGGUCAUUAGAGAGCUCGACAAGGUGAAGAAGAUUGGUGGGUCAUUCUAUAAGGGUGAUGGAACUCAUCAGCAUCAGGAGACACCCUUCCGAUCCCUUAAAUCUCUGGAAUUUUAUUAUAUGUGUUGCUGGGAGGAAUGGGAGUCAUAUGAAUGUGAUGAUGAUGAUGAUGAUGCACCAUUUCCGAAACUUGAGAAGCUCCGUAUUUCUGAAUGUCCAAAGUUAAGAGGAGAUUUGCCCACUUUCCUUCCGUCUUUGAAAGAACUUGUCAUUUCAGGAUGCGAGGAGCUUGGUUGUUAUCUGCCAAGAGCUCCCAUCAUUCGCGAAUUAAGAAUAUUUUGCAAACAGGAAGCAAGAAUGUGGGACCUAUCACUUUCAAUGUUGGAGAAACUAUCCAUUAAUGGAGAGCAGCAGGUGGAGUAUGUGUUUGAUGCCAUGUCUCACACCCAACCAACCUCUCUCACACUUUUAAGCAUCGCAAACUGCUCAUCAGCCAUAUCAUUUUCAGGGAUUUCUCUGCCCCCUUCAUUGAAAGAGCUGUACAUCUACGAUUGCAAGAAUGUAGAAUUCACAAUGCAACACCAACAACAUCAGUCACUAACGAAUCUUACAAUACAGAACAGCUGUGAUUCGCUUACAUCCUUCGCAUUGCCAGCAUUCCCAAAUCUCAAGGAUCUCAGAAUCGCAAGACGUGAAAAUUUGACAUCUCUGGAGGUGUCACAGUCACAGUCCCUCCGAGAAUUAUGGAUUGAAGAAUGCCCUAAGCUGGGGAAGAUAAUAAGGCUGCCUGCCUCUUUAGAGACUCUCAAAAUCAGAGCAUGUCCGUUGUUGGGUGAAGGCAUAGAGAGGAAGGACCCCCACAUUUGGCCAUCCAUUUCCCACAUCCCCCGCAUUCGACUUGAUGGGAAACUGAUUCUCAAUGACUCAACAUCUUAAAACAGGUAACUCUUUUUCUCUCUCUUCCCCAAAGGCACUUCGUCUUCACCAACAUCAAAUUCAUUCUUUCAUACAUUAUAUUAUCAUUAACAUAAUUUUGUUCAUACUGAAUUUCAUCAACCCAUUUUAUUUUUUUGUAGUAACAAGUCAUGCUGCUUGUUUAUCAAAUCUACUCUACACUGUUUCAAAUCAUGUGUCUCAUGUCCUUCUACUCUAAGUAUAAAACUUUAUCCUCUGUCAUAACACUGUCAAUCACCACUACAGCACAUGGUCGGGGCAAAUUUAGUUAUCAUGAUAACAGAAAGGAAUUCUGAGGCAUGCCUUUUGACCAAAUCUUGACUUUUCAGUUUUGAGUUGCAUUAUAUGGUUGUUAGUGUAUCAUAACUCAUAUUUCAACUGGCCCAUCUUCGCUAUCACUCGUCUACUCCCACUUUUUAAGCUUCUCAUCAUUGGACCGUCGCACAACAAAAUAGUAAAACAUUUGGUCUCUUUUUUGCAGGAAGCAUAUCGGAAUAAAGAGUUUGGUUGAUAUUCUCUGCAGUUGACAAUUCAUAAUAUUGUGAUUUUUCGGAUAAAAAGAUGUCUAUGAUUGUAAGAAAAAAAGCAUUUAUGCCCCCAACUAUAUAUUCCUGACUUCCUGUACUUGAUUUGCUACACUUUCCUAAAUCCUAAUUUUCCUUACUUUUGUUGCAGUAACAUUUUUGGGCUGCCUUGACCACCUUCCUUUUGCUAUUUCCUCCCCUUCCAAUUCAAUGUUGGGUUUAUUACUGCUUUUGCUGGUCUUGCCUUGAGAGUUGUAAGCAACUUUUCACUUUUUCAUUGCAUCCAUAUUUGUUUCAUUUUUCUUCUUCUGUAAUGUGAACGAACAUGUACAUUAUUGCUUAAUGCCUUCUUGCCUUCUUCGUAUGAAUAAUGGAAUAUAGAUAAAAUGGAAGAAAAUAUGAUCUAGGAAUACACACUUCUAAUUCCAGUCAAAUAAUGAUGCCUUGAGAAGCUUAAUUAAUUUUCCUAAUUUUACCAAAGGUAUUCAGGUAAAAUUUUAAGUUACUCGUUGUUUCAUUGCAUGAUGCAUAUUAUACUCCUAGAACCAUGUUUUCCAAAGAUUAAUUUUAUUGGCACUGUUACCUCUGAAUUUUGGUCGUUCUGGAAGUUAUAUAUUAUGAAUGUCACUAGGGCUUAUAUAUAUUGGACUUGUACCCUCACUCUAUCAUAUAGAGCACCAAUGUCAUUGCCAACUGUAGAGUGUAGAGAGUAGAUGCAUCAAUUCUGAUUGAUUUAACCACCAUGUAUCUCAAUCACUAAGCAUAUUCAAAUUACAUAGUAGUUGAGGACAAGGACACUGGACAUUGCAAGCAAGAAAUUACAUUCUUAGUGAUGUUUGUCAUUUAUUUAUUUUUUCUUGUGGUAGCUAUAGUAUUAAUCUAUGUUGCCAUGUUCUUCAGGUUGAUAGGGUACAUCAAGCAUCUCAUGAAUUCCACCAUGGCUCUAUCAAUUCAGAGCUCUUUGGCGCCGCUCAGAUCCCUGGGAGCUCCAAGAUGGGGCGGUGGAUUGUUAGUCAUCCUUAGGAUUUAGAUAAAGCUGUAGACAAUUGGAACGAGGAAAAUAGGCUCUUUUUAGAAAGCUGUUAAGGCCAUUUAGGUAAAGAUAGGACAGUUAGUAGGAGUAGUUGUUAGGUUAGUUACUAUAAUGGAAUUGAGAAUGUAAUUGAUGGGAAUAAGGGUAGUGGCCUAAACAGUUAGUAUUAGAAGGCUUGCUGAUUUCAUUGUCAAGCAAAUUUUGAUGUUGAAUAAAAAAAACUGGAGAGUACCGCCUCUCUUUCCUCUUGUGGAGUUCUUAACCUUGGUCUAAACAAAGUGUUACAUUGGUGUUUUUGCCGUUAACAUAUGGAGAGAUUGGUAUUGGACAUAGGGGUGGGGAUGAGAUUGAUAGUAAAACUUGUCAUGUUUCAUUUGAUAUUGAUGGUAAUGUUGCAGUCUCAAAAAAUUUGGAAGCAUGUGAUAAUUUUAAAUUUGCAAGAACAUUGUUAAGGGAUGCCCUUCCAUUAUUACAACCUCAAAGGAAAUAGUCCUUGUGUAUGACUUUUACUAUCAAAGCUGGAGAGCUUAAGAGUUUUUUCGUUUGAAUGGUUUCCUCUUGAUUCAUUGGCCAAUUCAACAUUAAACUGAUAAGUUUGUGUUAUUUGGAUCUUUCUGAAUCAUCUAUAAAGAUAUAACCUGAGUCAUCUACAAAUAUUGAAGUUGAAUUGUUUGACUUUCUGGUGCCUGGUCCACAGAUCUUCUUUGCAUAUGUUUACCACCUAAGGCAAGUUUGUAUAAUCUUUUCUACAUCACAUGAAAUGGCACACUCAUUCUUAAUUUUAUCUCUUCUAGAAUGUCAGAAAGUCCUAGUAUAUCCUAGUGAAUCAGUGCAGUUAUUGUUAACUUCUAUCAAAUUGAAGCAUUGAAGGUAGAAGCCAUUUCUUCCAACUGCCAUCUUUGACCUUCCAUUAGGCAUCAAAGGCAGAGAAUGUGAUGUUGUUUGAGACACCUCCAGAGCUGAGACGAGAAUGGAGGUAGACAAGAAGCUAACUCUGGAUUGACUUCAAGAUUGCGAAUUUUAUCAAAAUCUUAAUUUUACCAGAUAAUGAAUGUGCUUAUCUGUUAGCGUAGUAUAGGAUACUGGUGUUUAUGUACUGUUUGCAACGCAUGUUGAAUGGAUAUUCAUUUUUAAUUGUUAUUCCUGCUAGUUUAACAUCUUCUGAAACAAUUCAAAAGGAAGAAAUCAAAUCAUCUUGAGAAUUAUUAUAGUAUUAUAAAUAAAACCUUCCUAUAAAUAAUCUGAUAUAUAGCUUCUGCAGAAUGCAAUUUGUAUAUAAAAGAACAAGAAAAUCAUGCAUUGUAAGCAUUUUCAACUGAAAUUUUUUCAUGGAGCCUCUCUAUUAGAAUCUACCAACAAUGAUAGUAACGAGAAUGAGAUGAUUCAGUCUAUCCAAAUUUAUAGUAGCACAACAAAAUUGUGCGAGUAAGUUGAUAGUUUUUAUUUAUUAAUUUAUUUUUAAAAAUAUAAAAAACCUUAUUGAAAGGUUAAUUGUUUUUCCUUGUGAAUGUGAUUUCCUUUUUUUGAUAUUCUUUAUUUGAUAGGUUUUGUGCCCACGAAUAUGAAAUUAAAAGACAUGGCUGGAGCUGCUCUGGCUUACAAAUGCAUGGAGGUGGCAUAUAUGAGGGUAGAAUAUAGCUUAAUCAUAAAAUCACAAUAGAGUAUUCUUUUAUUUUAUUUUUAUUUAUUUUAUUUUUUAUUUUGGGUUGAAAAAUUGUUACGCCUCGUGUAGCUCUAUCACAUAUUUUCCGAACAUUGUUCAUCAUGCUAGAUGUCAGAUUCAUAAACAAAGGUUGGGGGAAAAAGCCUAAUGUUGAACUAAACUAGUAGAUUAAAUUAAGAUUUAACUAGUGGCAGCACUAUCAACCUAUGAUGCAUAGAUACUUCAAACUAGUCACCGUAUUUCCAUUAGAUACAUGUCAUGUCAAAUACUUUGAAGAUACGUAUGGUUAUAUUUUGCCAAUGUUAUUAGAUGUACACACACUUUCCCUUGUUACCUUGAACACUAUAACUCUGGCAACAGCUUCAACUACGAGGGAAUCUUCAUUAUCCCCUGCUGUAAUUUAUUAGUAUAAUAAAUUAAUAAUCAUCAUAUCCGUGUAAUCUAUUACUAAGUAGAGAGUCUAACCAUGUUAAAUCCUUCUUGUCAUGUGUUACCAAUCAAUUGUUAUCCACAUUUCGUUAUCAUGUUGGGUGGAGGAAGGCCCUCAUGAUUUAGAUGGCCAUAAAUAGAAUGGAAAAUGUUAGUGUGUUGAAAGUUUCAACUCAAAAAUUGAUGCAAAUAUCACCACCCUAUUGGCUAUUGGACUUCAUAAGAAUCUAUAACAGAAAGAAGAAAGUAAUAACUCUAACAACAACCAAUAAAAAAAAGAGAACGAAAAUCACAUAAAAAAAAACUAAGUUCAUCCACUAAAAUAAAUACAAAAAUUAAACUAUCAAAUAAAAAUAUUACUUUAUAACUCUAACAUCCAAAUUUAUUAUAUUACAAAUUAUUUUAAAUAAAAUAUCUUUUAAAUUUAACUUUAGUUUAUACAUAUUUAAUUUAAUUUUAUAAAAUAUAAUAAUUUUUAAUAUUUAUUAUAUACUAUUAUUAAUUUACGUCCUCUGUAUAGCGCAAAUCACAUUCUAGUUUUUCUAAAUCUCUUUAACCCGAUUUGCAAUUACAUGAAGUCUAAAGUCAAACAUAGAAUUAUUUUCAGCAGUACACACCAUUUCUAGCCGCAUAUUUUGAAUUGAAUAUUCUAGUCAGGUUCUUUAAGGAUCAGAACCAACUUCCACCGCGGAAGACAAAUCCAUCAUGCUAUUGGCUAUUGGAUGCAGUGUGGACCACACAUAGAAUUAUGAAAGCACUCACUUUUUUUUUCCGAGGAAGAGAGAAGGAAUCAUCAUAUGAACUUGUCCCAAAGACCAAUGAGCAUGUGUGAAGUCAAUGUCUUCUUGCUACAAGGAAAACAAAAUACAUAAGCAAUUAAGCAUCACUUUCUGAACCUACUGCUACUACUUCCUUUACCUUCAUUGCAAACAAUCAUCCACUACUUUCCUUGUUUUCUUUCUUCUAAUCUUGAGAUCAACAUGGCUGCAAGAUUUGUGGGAGAAGCUUUUCUCAACUCUGCACUUGGCACUAUCUACGACAUGCUGAUUUCACCCUUAC